RNAcentral lists this ribosomal RNA (648 nucleotides) under Lyophyllum shimeji. RNAcentral's name for it is "eukaryotic LSU rRNA". The stretch from base 243 to 396 matches the Rfam family "5.8S ribosomal RNA". Lineage: Eukaryota; Fungi; Basidiomycota; Agaricomycetes; Agaricales; Lyophyllaceae. The record is from RNAcentral.
AAGGAUCAUUAUUGAAUAAACUUGGUUGGGCUGUUGCUGGCUCCUCGGAGUANGUGCACGCCUAGCNCCAUUUUUACCACCUGUGCACCUUUUGUAGACNUGGAUACCUCUCGAGGAAACUCGGUUUGAGGACUGCUGUGUGAAAGCCAGCUUUCCUUUCAUUUCCAGGUCUAUGUUUUUAUAUACCCCAUAAGAAUGUAACAGAAUGUUGUUUACUGGCCUUUGUGCCUUUAAUCAAAUACAACUUUCAGCAACGGAUCUCUUGGCUCUCGCAUCGAUGAAGAACGCAGCGAAAUGCGAUAAGUAAUGUGAAUUGCAGAAUUCAGUGAAUCAUCGAAUCUUUGAACGCACCUGGCGCUCCCUGGUAUUCCGGGGAGCAUGUCUGUUUGAGUGUCAUUAAAUUCUCAACCUUUCCAGCUUUUGCGAGCUUGGUCAGGCUUGGAUGUGGGGGUUGCGGGCUUCCCAGAAGUCGGCUCUCCUUAAAUGCAUUAGUGAAACCUUUGUUGAUCAUCUCUUGGUGUGAUAAUUAUCUACGCCAUUGGAGUGUCAGCCUCAACUNUGUUGAGAGGUUCUGCUUCUAACUGUCCCNCUGGGGACAAUUUCUGACCUUUUGACCUCAAAUCAGGCAAGACUACCCGCUGAACUUAA